Delphinapterus leucas (beluga whale) is the source of this 4980-nucleotide non-coding RNA. NCBI's taxonomy places the organism in Eukaryota, Metazoa, Chordata, Mammalia, Artiodactyla, Monodontidae. The record is from RefSeq and is a predicted model, not a curated record.
CCACAUAUAAGUGAUAACAUAGAGUAUUUGUCUUCCUCUGUCUGACUUAUCUCACUGGAAUUUACUUUAUUAAAAAAUCCUCACCACAUCUGAAAAAUAGGGAAACAAAUUUACGUUCCCAGCAUGAGUGAAGAACAGAUGAACAUUUGUAGCCAUACAUCCUGUCUGCCCAGGCUGAGUGCCCAAAAAGGAUAAGCAGCAGAUAGGGAAGAGGCCCAGGAAAAGGAGGAGAGAGCCUCCCAGGGUGUGAGCAGAUGAAACACAUCCCUCCACUGGGUGAAUUGGUAUAAAAAGGAAUGUCCACAUGCACUUUCACCUUUUGGUUCCUGGACAUAAACCUUCUGGCUAUGGGUUAGAUGUCACUAUACUUGGCCCCUGGAGGAGAACGCAGCCAAUCCAAGGCCACCUGUCAGGGAGGGAGCCCUGACCUCACUCUCUGCCCACUUUCCAGUCUCCCAAACAGCAACCAGAGAGAAGACCAUUAACCUAGUCCAUGAAGGUCUGACUCGUAAGGCAUACAGGACAGUUAAGAGAAGUGGACAGUCAAUCUGGAAGAGCAAAAGGAAGAAGUCAAGCACGUGGUCAAAUAAAGCGGGCUAUGUUUGCCCCAAAAUAAGUAAUAUAAGUUGAAGAGUAAGAAGAAGGUUUCAUCAAUCUUGUUUCAUUUCACUUUCCACAAAGCCACUAAGAUCCCGUCCCUAACAGAACAGGAUGUGCCACUGCUCCUUCAGUAAGAAAACAGGAAGCUGGACGGGUGUUGAGAAAGUAUCAUUAAAUUCUGUGCUUUCUAGUUGAUAAACUUCAUAGAGAGGAGCAUGUGUUUCUUUGUUAUUUCCUCAGGGCUUGGAAAUCCUAGUGCCCAAGGCAGGAAUGCUUUUGUCAGGUGACACAGUCAUGGUUUCUUUGAACUUCAAAUUCCAUCGGCCGAAAUUAAAUGGAAAUCAAUGAUUUCCAAUGUGCCCAUUAGUGGAAUCCAUAGGGGUUAGCCUUCUGCGUCGAGAGCCGGUCGAAAGUCUAUCUUCUCCCUACUCUCCAGGUGAAGAUCCCAUGAGGCUGAUUUUCUAGCAACCUUCCAUGAGAGGUAGAAGAUCAUGUUCUCAGGCAAUAGGAGUGCCAAACAACCUUGCAGACAGAAACCCCUCCUGUGCAAUGAAGUGUGAAGUUUUUGCUCAUCACGGCAUCUGCAUCUGGACAAAACAGAAGUAAAGAAAGCAAGAACGUCGUAGCACAGUGUUAAUAAGAAGACUGCAUAUUUUUGGCACUAUCUGUACUACUUAGUGUCUAUAAUAAGGUAAAAAAAGACAUUUAAGCCCAAUAAGCCACCCUGAGCAUUAACACUGUCUCUCACUUGCCAGACAGGAUCACUGGGAAUCAAGAGAGAAAACAAGAUUUCAUUUUGUAAAGAAGCAAAAGUUGUUAGAGAAGAGGGGAGAAAAAAAAUGGUCAAGACAGAGCCCAUUACAGGCCUUUCUAACCAUCAAAUUUCAUGUUACUCUAAGUGCUCAAAGGUUUCUGAGGUAUUUUUAAUAUUAUGAAAUGUGUGAAUUCUUUUUAAAAAUAAAAUAAAAUUCAAAAGUAAUAAAAGUUUUCUAUUAGAUAAUAUAGGGGCCACAGAAGUGACAUAGAAAAAAAUUAUCCAUGAUCCCAACCUCCAGAGGUGACCAUUGCAAAUUAGCACCCUUUCCUCUAUCUUGGGCUGAUGCUCUAAACCCAUUCUCAGGGCUGAAAGUAAAGAUCACCCAAGACAAAAGAAUCAAAUGGAUUUCCAGGUGGGCCUAGCAAUUUUCAGAAUUGUGGUUUUUCCAAGUUGACGCUUAGCGAACAGACAUCACUUUUCCCACAGUACUAGUAUGUACAGGGAGUUGGCAGUAGAUGAUAUGAUAUGAUAUGAUUUAUGAUUUUUAAGGUUUUCCUAGACUUUACUCAGCAUUAAUUCGAUAAUAUAAUGUUGGUUCUAUUACUCAAAGUCAUUGUGAAUCACCCACCUCAGCUGUGAGAGAAAGUUACAUUGAGUCAAAGUCAUCAGGAGAUUUCAGGCAUCCAUCUGUACAAAUUCCCCCAUCCACCCAUCGGGUAAUGCAAACACCUCAAUAAUAAUGGAAAUAUAGCCCUCACUUCAACAGACAUUAAUUGAGCCCCUUCUGUAUUCGGUACUGUACAUGCUAAUCAAAUGCUUUCCAUGCUCUAUGAACCAUUUAAUUGCCAAUGUUUACUUAGGAGAGGGCUGGUUUGCCUCGGGCUGGUUUGCCUUUGGUGUGUGCUGCCGAAGUGUCCUUGAUGAAGUUCACUUUAACCUAAAGAAGGGCAUGAGGAGUAAGUGACUCCAAAUAUAGACUUUUUUUCCUCCCAUAAGGCUUGUUGCUCCAUAAGCAAGACCACUGUCAGUCUCACCUGUGUGUGCCCUAAGGGUACUAGGGACCUGUGAUUGGAAACUUAGAUUGAAAUUGAUUGGGGAUGGCUUCUCAAAAGGCUUUCUUCAUAGCUAGCUAAUCUCUCUUUAAAUAAACUGUAAGUCAGCCACACUAUGACAGAUGUGAUGCUAAGACCUGGAUAUAAAGAGGUGUGUGUGUGUGUGUGUGUUCCUGUACGUAUAGCUGCCCUCAUCGUUACUUUGUUUGUUUCAUUUAUUACUAGCUAACAUUUACUGAGUUCUCACAGUAUGCUGAGCACUGGACCAAAUCCUUAAUAUGCGUCAUCUCAGGAACACUCACACAACCAGGAGGACCUCUAUUUUACAGAGACCCCCAAAGGCUUGUGUCAAUACCUGACUCCAGUUUUUAAAUGCAGGAGCAUCCUCAUUCUGGGUUUGCUUUAAUUGUCUUGGAGGAGAACAUUGCCUUGAUGCUCGCUGCAUCCAUCCCCCAGGGACCAGCACCUCACCUGCUGCCCGCUCCUGGACAUCCCCAGCUAUGCAGUGACUGACACCUCAGAGGAUCUCUUCAUGCCCAGAACUUGGAAGCAGUAAUGGGACUCUCCAGGGAAACAUGCUCUGGACAGCGGGUGUACAGACCUAGAGAGAGGGAGACUGAUGCUGCCCUGCCCCGCCACCCCACUCCAGCAGCCAUUGGAAGAAGCAAGAAAACAAGGAAAAUGAGUCUCUUGGAACCUUACAGAGUUUGGAGAAGCCUGGCGGCAUCAUCAGAUGUCGCAGAAAUCACUUGGUCGCUGGCCGGUUCUUGGAGAGCAGAGCAAGAGCAAAGAACACGGGCUUGAGAAGAGCUGUCCUGCUUUGGCUCCUGGGUUUGAGGCUCCACAUUAGGAAUGUCUGCAUUUGUUGCCUUUGAAUGUUUCUCAAAAGAAAGGAAGAGCUUGGGUAACUCCAACUUCAUGGAGACCAGAGUAUUGAAACUACUGAAAGUAUUUCAAGCCUUUGAUAUUCAACGUUACUAAAUUUUUCUCUUCAGUACACAUUUUAAGAGAAACUAUUAUCUUAUCUUCUGCCAAAGCUGUACUAUCUGUUCGCCAAAUAGAUUUAUGGUGGGAAAUCAUCUUGAUGCAAAAAGAGACUAAAAACAGUUCUCCCCACCCUCAGGUUGUUUACCGUAUCCACAAGGUCCAUGAAUCACAUGCACCCUAUUGCCAAUUUGCACAUUAAUCACACAGAAAUCACAGGGAUCUGCAGGGGACCUUCUUUGAGAAGCUUUUUGCUAUGGACACACGUGCUUGAACUUAACUGGGAUUAUCUAGCUACGGUUUCACCCUUGGUCCCAGCUAGUAGCAGAGGCAUCAUCUAGGACCUUGUUAGAAAUGCAGGGUCUCAGGCCCCACCCCAAACCUACUGAAUUGGAAUCUGCGUCUUAAUGAAGUCCAGGGAAUUCAUGUAUGUAUAAAGGUAGCACUGCCUUUUGCACUCUGCAUUACAUUGUAAGCAUUUCACAACCACCUGUCUUAAAUCCCCCAAAUGCAUGCGUCAAAGGAUGUGUUGGUGUAAGAGCGACAGUAGGUCCCAGGUGACCUGGAUGCUUCAGAGAGAUGUGCCUGCACUCAUGGUGGGCUGGGUACCAGUGUCUUCUAUCUGGGGUGGGAUGGAUGACACGUAUUUUUCUAUGCCAGGCUCAGUUACUGUGCUUUUAGGAUUUGUUCAUGCCUUGGUUUGUGGAAAAUUCUCCAGAGCUUGGCUAAUACUUUGAGUACUAUUCAUGCUUUGACUCACUUUGUAUAUUUAAGCGUAAAGAGCGUUAACAUGAAAAAAUACACUGGUAACAGUGAAUCUAGUAAAAUUUUGUGAUUUUUUUUUUUCUGUUUCAGUCUUACAAUCUUCAGUUAUGUGCUCAACGGAUGCAUUUGAUUUUCAUUAAAAUAUUCCUGGGGUAAAUGACACAAAUGAUAAGUAAAGAAUGUAAGAAAUAUAUUUUUUUAAUUUGGUUACCCUUGCGUCAGAGAGUAGCCAUCUUCCUGACAUUUGCUCUCGGCAGGAGGCACUUGGCUAAAAGAUCACUGAAUUCUAGGCUUUCCAAUUUAUCCCAAACAUGGAGAGGAAUAAUUCUGAUCCCCAGACAGGUUUCUGCUUCACAGUUUCAAUAUAGGCACAUUCUGUAGCCUGUCGGGGAAACUGACCUUUACUGUGGCUCUACAAUUUUCCAGGUGCUAUCCCAGGUGUUUUACACUUACUGCAUAUUAUUCACCCAACAGCCCUAUUAGAUAUAGUCCCGCUUUCUACACAAGUCAACUCAUACUUAGUGACUUGCCCAGUCCGUAAACCAGGAUUGCAGCAGUCUAACUCUAAAUUCUGUGUUUUUUCACACCAAACGGCAACCAAGAAAGCAACGCACCUCUAAAUCAGAGUUCCACAGUGAUCCUGAGACCCGGCACCUCCACAGACCUGCCACGUCCUACUGACAACUCCCAAGCGAGCAGCGUUUGCUGAAGAAUUCAAGCAUGUUCUUACAGCCAAUGCAUUCACUUACACUCUUGGAUUUGUAGAUUAUAAAUAAAAUUUUUUUUGAGAUUUGUAGAUUAUAAAUAAAAUUUUUAAGCUGA